UACGGGAGGCAGCAGUGGGGAAUAUUGCACAAUGGGCGCAAGCCUGAUGCAGCCAUGCCGCGUGUAUGAAGAAGGCCUUCGGGUUGUAAAGUACUUUCAGUCGUGAGGAAGGUGUUAAGGUUAAUAACCUUAGCAAUUGACGUUAGCGACAGAAGAAGCACCGGCUAACUCCGUGCCAGCAGCCGCGGUAAUACGGAGGGUGCGAGCGUUAAUCGGAAUUACUGGGCGUAAAGGGCACGCAGGCGGUUAAUUAAGUUGGAUGUGAAAUCCCCGGGCUUAACCUGGGAAUGGCAUUCAAGACUGGUUAGCUAGAGUCUUGUAGAGGGGGUAGAAUUCCAUGUGUAGCGGUGAAAUGCGUAGAGAUGUGGAGGAAUACCGGUGGCGAAGGCGGCCCCCUGGGACAAAGGACUGACGCUCAUGUGCGAAAGCGUGGGGAGCGAAACAGGGAUUAGAUACC
RNAcentral lists this ribosomal RNA (457 nucleotides) under uncultured bacterium. RNAcentral describes it as "bacterial SSU rRNA". It matches the Rfam family "Bacterial small subunit ribosomal RNA", at positions 340 to 786 of the family's 1533-position model. The record is from RNAcentral.